RNAcentral lists this long non-coding RNA (697 nucleotides) under Mytilus galloprovincialis (Mediterranean mussel). Lineage: Eukaryota; Metazoa; Mollusca; Bivalvia; Mytilida; Mytilidae. The record is from RNAcentral.
AUAAACCCUAUUGUUAUAUUGAGAACAACAUUGUGAGCAAAAGAGUAACUGAGGUUUAAAAUUUUAUGUUUCAAUUCUUGACAAUCUGCCUACGAACUGUAUUGAUUCACUGUUAUUCAAAAAGCACUAGUUGUCAAUAAAUCUAUAAACACACUAAAUAAAACAUAGCUUUUACAAUCAUAAAUCAGGUUGCUUCAGUAAGAAAAAAAAUGUGAACCGACGUUAUGUGUUUGCUAUCUAUAAAAUUUUUCUUUUUCAGUCUCUCAGCUAUGAGUAAAAUAAAAUGUUCUCAUUUUAACAGACAUUCAAAAACAUUAUUACAAAAUUUGUUUCAAAUCAUUUUAUAUGGUUAAUAGAUGAUGUAUUGCUGAAUAUAUGAAUACUACUGACUUAAUUUCGACAAGUAAUAUUGAAUAUAGAACAGUGGCAAAACGUGCAACUGUGGUGCAUAUCGAUGAAUGUUUUGAUGCAAUGCACGAAGCGUUUUGAACGAUGCUGAUCAGAAAUAACACAAGCAGAAGGGUGAUUUUUCUUUAUCUUUUCUGUUGUUUCUUUUUAUUUCUUUUCAUGUGUUUUGUUUUUUAUUUCAUGUAGUACUAAAUUAUAUCAAAAUCAUGAUGAUACAUCCCUGUUCAAUAUAUUUAUGCUCUUUAGAUGAAAUUGUUCAUUGUAAACUAUUUAAGUUUUACUAAGGUUU